RNAcentral lists this ribosomal RNA (326 nucleotides) under uncultured bacterium. Its description in RNAcentral is "bacterial SSU rRNA". It matches the Rfam family "Bacterial small subunit ribosomal RNA", at positions 28 to 334 of the family's 1533-position model. The record is from RNAcentral.
GAUGAACGCUGGCGGCGUGCUUAACGCAUGCAAGUCGAACGAAGCACUCUACUUGAUUUCCUUCGGGAAUGACUGUUUUGUGACUGAGUGGCGGACGGGUGAGUAACGAGUGGGUAACCUGCCUUUCAGUGGGGGACAACAGUUGGAAACGACUGCUAAUACCGCAUAAUGUUAUUUGGGGGCAUCCUCGGAUAACCAAAGAUUUAUUGCUGAAAGAUGGUCUCGCGUCUGAUUAGCUAGAUGGCGGGGUAACGGCCCACCAUGGCGACGAUCAGUAGCCGGUCUGGGAGGACGAGCGGCCACAUUGGGACUGAGAUACGGCCCAG